Erinaceus europaeus (western European hedgehog) is the source of this 2394-nucleotide long non-coding RNA. RefSeq lists it as uncharacterized. Lineage: Eukaryota; Metazoa; Chordata; Mammalia; Eulipotyphla; Erinaceidae. The transcript has 2 exons. The record is from RefSeq and is a predicted model, not a curated record.
GGUCUCGCUCCCUGCUCUCCCCCCGUGGUCGGCCAUUGCUGGCUGGCUCCACGUGGUCUGAACCAAACCUCCCCCCCCAUCCUAUAAUAAAGAUCUGUGUACCCCUUUGCUCUGGACGUCCGCUCUCUUCUCCGCGGUGCAGCCCGACACCAGACCACCUCAACAACAACCACCAGGUUCCAGAUGCUACCAUGAUGCCAAGCAGACUUCUGUGGAGAGAUGACCCCACCAGUGUGUCCUGGAGCUUCCUCAGAGCCCUGCCCCACUAGGGAAAUAGAGAGAUAGGCUAAGAGUAUAGGUCGACCUGUCAAUGCCCAUGUUCAGUGGGGAAAUAAUUACAGAAGCCAGACCUUUCACCUUCUGCACCCCAUGUGACCCUGGGUCCAUACUUCCAGAGGGUUAAAAAAUGGGAAAGUUAUCAAGGGAGGGGAUGAGAUAAGGAGUUCUGGUGGUGGGAAUUAUACCCUUCUUAUCCUAUGGUCUUGUCAGUGUUUCCAUUUUAUAAAUAAAUUAAAAAAUUAAAAAUAAGUUGAAAAACAAGAUCGAAGGGAAACAACUAAGCAGAACUUGGACUGGAGUUGGUGUCUUGCACCAAAAUAAAAGACUGUGGGGUUGGGGGGAGGGUUCAGGUCCUGGAACUCGAUGGUAGAGGAGGAUCUAGUUGGGGUUGAAUUGUUACUUUGAAAGCUAGGGAAUGUUAUGCAUGUAUAAACUAUUGUAUUUUACUUUUGACUAUAAACUUUUAAUCCCUCAAUAAAGAAAUUUUUAAAAAGAAAAAACUUUUUUCCCCCAAAAUAUGAUAGCUGGAUUCUCUCACCAAGUAUGUCAUUCUAUGAACAGAAUUACAUUAUUUUAGUAAUUUGCUAUCUAGAUGUGUGCAAAAGAAAAGAUAAUUUCUAAUAGUUUACACCAACAAAUAUCUAGUCCUUAAGAUUCAAGAUUUAUUAAAAUUAAAAGACAAUAAAAAGCCUCAAGAAUUUGAAGAAUCAAAUGUAACAAAAUGUCAAAAAUGUUUAUGUUGAAUCUUUCAGCAUGGUAUGUGUCAUGCUUUUAGUGCAAAUGGUAUUUUUAAGUGCUAUAUUAUAUCAGAUGUUAUAAAUAUACUAUCCCAUAUAGACAAGCUUGUAUUUCUAUAACCUUAUAAGAGAGUUAAAUCAUUUUCAAUUUUUAAUAAAUAGUACUAGAAUUUAUACCAACAUAACAUCUUGGCAUGCACUUGUGGGAUCACAUUAUGUCUUCACAUUAAAGUUUUUUUGUUUUUUUUUCUCAAAAGAAAAAGCCCAAAGUGAACUAGGGAUAGUAUACUGGUAUAUUGCUCUGUAGUAAAAAAAGCUCUGGGGAGGAGAGAGAUUGGGAACCAGAAGGCAAGGCAGUAUUGGAGAUUUUUAUUGGAAAAUAACAUUAGAUUUGCUUUACUGUUCAAUGGUAGGAUCUGACAAUGCAUACUGACUUCACUUUGUCAUUUGGGCUUUCUCCUUGUCAUCGUGCAUUUUGGCUAGAGAAGUCAUUGGACCAUACAUCCUAGAGAAGUCAUUGGACCAUACAUCCUAGAUUAUUCAAUGAUAAGUGGGUUCUGGCACUGUAUUCCACAGAGAAAUAGAUUAAUAUGUUUUCAGUGAUUCAUAAAAUACUUACACUAAAUAGAGAAAUUAAGAUCUAAAAAUAUCCUCACAGAAUUUAGAUUUAUUUUUUGCCUUUAGAGUUUUAUUUUAUUUUUUAGUAUUUUUGAAAAAUUUCUACUUAUCUUUAUUUAUUGGAUAGAGAUAGCCAGAAAUCAAGAGAGGGAGAGAGACAGAAAGACACCUGCAGCACUGCUUCACCACUUACAAAGCUUUCCUCCUGCAGGUGGGGACCAGGAGCUCGAACCCAAUGCAUUGUUCCUUAUGCAUUUAACAUGUGUGUUCAAAGUACACAGUAAUAUGUAAUGAGUACUCCUCAACACUUCAUCUGCAUUAUUCCAGCCUUUAAGUCCAUGACUGGUCAAUAGUAUGUUUGGCUUUGUAUGUUAACUCUCUUUUUCAGCCACCAGGUUCCAGAUGGCAGCAUGAUGCCAACCAGACUUCCCUGGACAGAGGACCUCACCAAUAUGUCCUGGAGCUCCACUUCCCCAAAGCCCCACCCUACUAGGGAAAGAGAGAAGCAGACUGGGAGUAUGGAUCGACCAGUCAACGCCCAUAUUCAGCGGGGAAGCAAUUACAGAAGCCAGACCUUCCACCUUCUCCAUCCCACAAUGACCCUAGGUCCAUACUCCCAGAGGGAUAGAGAAUAGGAAAGCUAUCAGGGGAGGGGAUGUGAUAUGGAGUUCUGGUGGAUAUGGGAAUUGUGUGGAGUUAUACCCCUCUUGUCCUAUGGUUUUGUUAAUGUCUCCAUUUUAAAAUAAAUAAAUAAAUAAAA